This 583-nucleotide ribosomal RNA is filed under the name uncultured bacterium. RNAcentral's name for it is "partial 16S ribosomal RNA". It matches the Rfam family "Bacterial small subunit ribosomal RNA", at positions 355 to 932 of the family's 1533-position model. The record is from RNAcentral.
UGGGGAAUAUUGCACAAUGGGCGCAAGCCUGAUGCAGCCAUGCCGCGUGUGUGAAGAAGGCCUUCGGGUUGUAAAGCACUUUCAGCGAGGAGGAAGGUGGUGAGCUUAAUACGCUCAUCAAUUGACGUUACUCGCAGAAGAAGCACCGGCUAAUUCCGUGCCAGCAGCCGCGGUAAUACGGAGGGUGCAGGCGUUAAUCGGAAUUACUGGGCGUAAAGCGCACGCAGGCGGUUUGUUAAGUCAGAUGUGAAAUCCCCGGGCUCAACCUGGGAACUGCAUUUGAAACUGGCAAGCUAGAGUCUCGUAGAGGGGGGUAGAAUUCCAGGUGUAGCGGUGAAAUGCGUAGAGAUCUGGAGGAAUACCGGUGGCGAAGGCGGCCCCCUGGACGAAGACUGACGCUCAGGUGCGAAAGCGUGGGGAGCAAACAGGAUUAGAUAACCCUGGUAGUCCACGCUGUAAAACGAUGUCGAUUUUGGAGGUUGUGCCCUUGAGGCGUGGCUUCCGGAGCUAACGCGUUAAAUCGACCGCCUGGGGAGUACGGCCGCAAGGUUAAAACUCAAAUGAAUUGACGGGGUCAUAGCUG